Molecule: ribosomal RNA, 733 nt
Filed under: uncultured eukaryote
Lineage: Eukaryota
Description: bacterial SSU rRNA
Rfam family: Eukaryotic small subunit ribosomal RNA
Source: RNAcentral
CGCGUGUACUGGUCCGGCCGGGCCUUUCCUUCUGGACAUCCCCAUGCCCUUCACUGGGUGUGUGGGGGAACCAGGACUUUUACUUUGAAAAAAUUAGAGUGUUCAAAGCGCGCCUUUGCUCAAAUACUUUAGCAUGGAAUAAUAAAAUAAGACGUGCGGCCCUAUUUUGUUGGUUUCUAAGACCUCUGUAAUGAUUAAUAGGGAUACUCGGGGGCAUCAAUAUUCUUUUGUCAGAGGUAAAAUUCUUGGAUUUAUUGAACACUAACUACUGCAAAAGCUUUUGCCAAGGAUGUUUUCAUUAAUCAGUGAACAAAAGUUAGGGGAUCGAACACUAUCAUAUACCGUCAUACUCUUAACCGUACACUAUGCCCACUAGGAGAUCGGGAUAUGUUUCUUUCUUGACUCUCUCCGCCUCUUACGAGAAAUCAAAGUUUUUGUGCUCUGGGGGAGAGUAUGGUCACGGCGCUGACACUUAGAGAAUUUGAGGGAGGGGCACCACCGCGCGUGGACCCUGCCGCUUAAUUUCACUCAACACGGGAGAAACUCACCGUGUCCAUAUGAUAUAGAGAUUGACAUAUUGAGAGCUCUCUCGUGUUUUUCGUGUGGUGGUGCAUGGCCGUUUAGAGUUGGUGGAGUGAUUUGUCUUAAUAAUGAUGAUAACGAAGGCGACCUCAACCUGAAAAAUCGCCAGGCUAGCUUUGGCUGGUCGCCGGCUUGAUAGAGGGACGAUUGA